Molecule: long non-coding RNA, 3690 nt
Organism: Cicer arietinum (chickpea)
Lineage: Eukaryota; Viridiplantae; Streptophyta; Magnoliopsida; Fabales; Fabaceae
Source: RefSeq, a predicted model, not a curated record
AUUCGAUGUCAUGCAGCUCUACACGAUGACAUUUACCGUAUGAAACCUUUUCUUUACCCAGUAACGCCUCGACGAGACGAUGCAGAAAGCGCAGAACUGUGAAUAUUCUCUUCUAACCUUCUUCUGUAAAUUUGCUUUGUUUUUUUCAAUUUUAUAAAACUCUUUGUUUAUUUGUUGUUUUUUCUUCAAUUUUUGCAUAAUAGAAAAUUGAUCCAUAUGCAUUUUCCUUAUGCUGCAAAUUUGAGGAUUUGACCUAGAAAAAAUGGAAAUAAUUAUUGGCGAAAUAGAAAUAAUGUUUUUCCAUAUUCACUUCUGGUUGUUGAUACUGUAAACAAUGAUGGUUUGAUUUCAACAAUUUGAUGAUGUAGAGUAACUUUGUAGCUGGUAAGAAUCAUGGCUUAAUGGUCUUGUAACGACUGUGGUUUUAACAAUGUCAUUUAUCUUGCUUAUUACUUUAAAGAGUUGGUUUUCUUCUUGUAUUGUAAAUUGUAUUGUUAACUGAUAGAUUCUUUAUAUAUGAAUUGUUGGUAGGGUGAUGGUACAUGCAACAUUGUUGUCAAAUAGCACGGUGGUAUUCCCCUGUAGUAGUGUAGUGGAAUUUGAACCAAAUGCUAUUGUUAUGUGAAACACUACUGUACAUAGUGUUGUAAAAUAAGGGCUAUAGUGGUUUUAUAGCGUUGUAGAGUAAACAAACCACUAUUUUAUGCUAUUAGCUAUCGACAACACUGACAUGCAGUUAUGAAGGAGUAGUCUAGAUAUCUACUUGUAAAUAACUGCCCUUAUUCGACAUCUUUGGAAAAUUAGAUAUAUCAACUAAAUGGUAUUGUACAGACAAGUAACUCUUUUGGAAAAUUAGAUAUAACAACUAAAUGGUAUUGUACAUGGACUCUGUUUGGCAUAAGCUAUUUCUAUAACAAAAGAUAAAAUAACGUUAAAACUGUUUUUGUUCAAGUUAUAAACUGUUUUUAUAAACUAUCCUAGAGAGUCUAUGAAAUUAGCUGAAAAAAACUUAUAAACAUGUGAUAAGUUGAUUCCACAAACUCUCAAAAGUUUCACAAGUGCUUAUGCAAUUAUGUCAGUAGAUAAAUUCAAAUAGGUCAAAUCAAACUGGUUGAUGUUGUAUCAAAUGGGAUUUUGUUGUUUUGGUUUACACAUUAAUUGUCAGAUCUUCUGUAGUACCAUGAAUUGGUGAAAAAUAUUACUGCUAUAGAAAUUUAGGGUGGACCGUUCUUCCUAGUCUUUAUUUGAUAUAAGGCUGAUCAUGUUCCAAUCCCAAUGUUAUGCUUGUGACUGAUCUGUCGAACCAUAAUUUACUAAAAACGUUAAAACCUACAAUUUUUAUACUACUCACAUUCUCAUUAGUUUUUGCUGUCUGCCACAUUGAAGAUUUAUUAAGAAUCUUAUAGUUCGUUUACUUUGUAAAAAUAUUUUUUGUUUUCAUUUCAUAGAAUUUGUUUUAAUUUUACCGGUUGAUAAGAAAGUAAGAGAUUUUAUGAAGUGAACAAUUGUCUAUAUUUUUUAAAACAAUGAAAAUAUCUAAAAAGUAUUUUCAUUAUUCUCGGAAAUGUAUCUUCAUUAACUAGUAUUUCAUUUUCUCUCCAGGACAAUGUUUUACUUAAAUUGUUUUUCAUCAAGAUAAAAUGAACACACAUUUUAGAAAAUGGAAAUAUAAAAUAUUUUCACAAAGACACAAACUAUAAGGGAUCUUAGUGUUUCUCAAUUAUGAAAAGGAUAUUAACUUUGGUUUUUCUGUUCCCACUAUUUCCAGCAUCGUACAAUACAUUCAAAGGAUGUUGAAGCAACACUUCCUUGAGUUUGCAUCACAUAUUCUAUUAUUAUUAUAGCUGUCAAAAUAUGUUUCUGUUUAAUAUCCCUCAAGUAUAUGGAUUCAGUUAUAUUUUAAUUCUUGACAAUAGCUUGUAUAUGACUUUGAUUGAUAUCCAUUAUAGGAGUGAAUUUGUGUUGGCUGACAUGCUAGUUUUCCAUUUUGAUUUUAAGAACACCAAAAUAUUUUGAAAAUGUUCAUUAUAUUUUGUUGAUAAAAGUAAUGCCUUGCUUUUGGUAAAUUGGUAAGUUGCAUAUCCUGUCUCAUGCAUGUGAGUCUAGCAUGCUCUUUAUCGUACUAGUAUGAACUAACUUAUUUUGUUUUGUUAACAAUACUCUUAUUAUUUGUUCUGUUUUCAUGGGCAAACCAUAUUUGCUUUUCACCAAAACAUGCACACCCGAAUCACAAAAACAGAAGAAAUAAGAAGAGAAAGACUGUAAAGACAAAUUCCUAAUUUUCUAUAAAAUACUGUUUUACAUGAUGAGACAGUACAGGUGUUCAGAAUUCUGAUAAGAAUAUAUAAUACUCAACAUCUUUACUUUUGUUGGUUAAGCAAUAAGACUUGUCUGUAGGGUCCAGAGAUUGAAGAUACGAAAGUUCGUUAGAUUCGAAUACUUCUGAAACAUGACAUUACAAAAGAAUUUCACUAUAAUCUCGCCGAAACUGAAUACUAGUGCAAAUGAACAUUUUCUGUUUGAGGAGCUGGGAUCAUCAUCUAUACUGUCAUUUUAGAUGAUGCUGGUUCAUUGAAUUGCUUUCCAAAAUUUAUGUAGUAGCCUGACUGUACAAAAUACAUGCCCGAUGUCUCUCUAUCACAAAACUCUUAAAACAUAGAUUGAAACUAGAGAAAAAACCAACCAACUGUUGUGAAGAACUUUUGAGAAUGCAGGUACAACUCACUAUGUUUCUAACCUGCUCUGCAUUUCCAAGCAUGUCAACUUCUGUUUCUCACACUUCUGGAUGUCAGCGACUUAGCUUAGUUACGAUUUCUCUCCAAGUCAAGCGAACAGUAUAUGUUAAGUCCUGUUGUGAAUAGGAUCUGAUCCUCUUCGCACUCUUCUUUUGCUCGAAUAAUUUGGAUCAAGCCUGUUGUUAAAAUUUGCUGAACUCUUCUUUGUGGGAUCAGACACAUUGUUGACAUUUGCUGUAUUCUUCUUUGUGUUCAACAUUUCCUUUGUAGCUUUCAGAAUAUUAAGAAUCCAACAAAGAGAAGAAGAAUUAUUCUAGAAGGAUGGAACACCAUAUUCACUUCUCUCUAAAACAAGAAUAAAAGGUUACUCCAUAUACAAAUUCAGGUCUUAAAUGGGACAGGGAAAAAAUGGGCCAGCCAGAAGCAGGAGAUUGCAACAGUGCUAGCAGCUCAUAUAAAGAAUAAAUGUGGGAAUAGAACAGUCCCCAAAAGAAACAAACUAUUGCUUUAUGCUCUUUACUAACUUCUAAGAUCUCCCCUUGUUGGCUUUAGAAUUCCAAACUCUCUUCCCAAGUUUGGAACUGUCCAAAGCAUAAAUUCCCCACUUUAUCACAACUGGGUGACAUAUUUUUCUUAAGAUGAAGGGUGACUGGUCAUAGUCCAAGUGAAACAAACAACCAACGCAUGAACAAUUUAUGUUCUCUCUCCUAUGUUUUUUGAUUUUUAUACUUUUUUAUCAUCCAAUUAAAGUGACAGUUUAUGUGACUCGUUGCUUUCCAUUUUUAUUUUUUCUUCCUAACGUUUGAAACUUCCUUUUGAGUGUCACCUUGUUGCAAACCAUAUGCCCUUAAAGAAUAUGCUUCUUUAUUUUCCCUCUGAUUAGUUGUUAAUUUACCAUUGUAUCGUAACAUGUGACAUUCUAAUGUGGAAUGCAUUGUUACUAGAUUGUUUGUUA